RNAcentral lists this ribosomal RNA (291 nucleotides) under uncultured eukaryote. RNAcentral describes it as "partial 18S rRNA". It matches the Rfam family "Eukaryotic small subunit ribosomal RNA", at positions 111 to 414 of the family's 1831-position model. The record is from RNAcentral.
AAUAGUUUCUUUGGUGGUAAUCUACUACUUGGAUAACCGUAAUAAUUCUAGAGCUAAUACAUGCGUAAAUCUCGACUCACGAAGAGACGUAUUUAUUAGAUAAAGACCGACCUCGUUCUGCGGUGAAUCACAAUAACUUCACGGACCGCAUGGCUUUAUGCCGGCGGUGUUCCAUUCAAAUUUCUGCCCUAUCAACUUUCGACGGUAGGAUAGAGGCCUACCGUGGUGUUCACGGGUGACGGAGAAUUAGGGUUCGAUUCCGGAGAGGAAGCCUGAGAAACGGCUACCACA